Molecule: long non-coding RNA, 291 nt
Organism: Pelmatolapia mariae (spotted tilapia)
Lineage: Eukaryota; Metazoa; Chordata; Actinopteri; Cichliformes; Cichlidae
Exons: 4
Source: RefSeq, a predicted model, not a curated record
CAUCCAUAAACUUUGCUGUCACAUGUUGUUCCUGUCGUGUGGUUCUGUGGGUUUCAGAAGUAUUGCUGAUGGAAAAUUCUGUGUUGUGGUUCUGCUGGUGUUACUGGUUCUGCUGGUGAGACAACAUGUUCAAAGGAAAUCUGAAGGGGAGAAGGUGGAGAUGAUGACAUCAUGUUCAGUGAUAGCAAAAGCUGAAGUCAACAACAGCCAAUCAGAGGAAGCAGAGUUCCUCCCACCAGAGACACACGCACAGGAUGUAAAGAAGAAACACAAGGAGAGAAGACCUGAGAU